This 672-nucleotide ribosomal RNA is filed under the name uncultured bacterium. RNAcentral's name for it is "bacterial SSU rRNA". It matches the Rfam family "Bacterial small subunit ribosomal RNA", at positions 94 to 802 of the family's 1533-position model. The record is from RNAcentral.
AGCGGCGGACGGGUGAGUAACGCGUGGGAAUAUGCCCUUCUCUAAGGAAUAGCCUCGGGAAACUGAGAGUAAUACCUUAUACGCCCUUCGGGGGAAAGAUUUAUCGGAGAAGGAUUAGCCCGCGUUAGAUUAGGUAGUUGGUGGGGUAAUGGCCUACCAAGCCUACGAUCUAUAGCUGGUUUGAGAGGAUGAUCAGCCACACUGGGACUGAGACACGGCCCAGACUCCUACGGGAGGCAGCAGUAGGGAAUCUUAGACAAUGGGGGAAACCCUGAUCUAGCCAUGCCGCGUGUGUGAUGAAGGCCUUAGGGUCGUAAAGCACUUUCGCCAGAGAUGAUAAUGACAGUAUCUGGUAAAGAAACCCCGGCUAACUCCGUGCCAGCAGCCGCGGUAAUACGGAGGGGGUUAGCGUUGUUCGGAAUUACUGGGCGUAAAGCGUACGUAGGCGGAUUAGUAAGUUAGAGGUGAAAUCCCAGGGCUCAACCCUGGAACUGCCUUUAAUACUGCUAGUCUUGAGUUCGAGAGAGGUAAGUGGAAUUCCGAGUGUAGAGGUGAAAUUCGUAGAUAUUCGGAGGAACACCAGUGGCGAAGGCGGCUUACUGGCUCGAUACUGACGCUGAGGUACGAAAGUGUGGGGAGCAAACAGGAUUAGAUACCCUGGUAGUCACACGU